UUACUCACACUGACAGUUCCAUCGCCUGCACGGCCAUGGAAGAGAGCUCCCCAUCCUGGAAUGUCGGCUGUUAUGCUUCUGGUCAUCCACAAAGCUAUCAUCAACUGCAUUUUACCUUUAUAUUGUUAAUUUUAAUA
This is a long non-coding RNA of Hibiscus syriacus, 137 nucleotides long. RefSeq lists it as uncharacterized. The transcript has 3 exons. Lineage: Eukaryota; Viridiplantae; Streptophyta; Magnoliopsida; Malvales; Malvaceae. The record is from RefSeq and is a predicted model, not a curated record.